GAUGAACGCUGGCGGCGUGCCUAAUACAUGCAAGUCGAGCGAACGGACGAGAAGCUUGCUUCUCUGAUGUUAGCGGCGGACGGGUGAGUAACACGUGGAUAACCUACCUAUAAGACUUGGAUAACUUCGGGAAACCGGAGCUAAUACCGGAUAAUAUUUUGAACCGCAUGGUUCAAAAGUGAAAGACGGUCUUGCUGUCACUUAUAGAUGGAUCCGCGCUGCAUUAGCUAGUUGGUAAGGUAACGGCUUACCAAGGCAACGAUGCAUAGCCGACCUGAGAGGGUGCACGGCGACACUGAUAAUGAGACACGGUCCAGACUCCUACGGGAGGCAGCAGUAGGGAAUCUUCCGCAAUGGGCGGAAGCCUGACGGAGCAACGCGGCGUGAGUGAUGAGGGUCUUCGGAGCGUAAAACUCUGUUAUUAGGGAAGAACAUAUGUGUAAGUAACUGUGCACAUCUUGACGGUACCUAAUCAGAAAGCCACGGCUAACUACGUG
Molecule: ribosomal RNA, 497 nt
Filed under: uncultured bacterium
Lineage: Bacteria
Description: partial 16S ribosomal RNA
Rfam family: Bacterial small subunit ribosomal RNA
Source: RNAcentral